AGUAACACGUGAGUGACCUGCCUUUUAGACUGGAACAACUUACCGAAAGGUGAGCUAAUGCCGGAUGAGUUAUAUAAGUGCAUGUUUAUAUAGGAAAAGUUGGGGAGACCUGACGCUGAAAGAUGGACUCGCGUCCCAUUAGCUAGUUGGUAGGGUAAUGGCCUACCAAGGCGACGAUGGGUAGCCGGCCUGAGAGGGUGGCCGGCCACACUGGGACCUGAGACACGGCCCAGACUCCUACGGGAGGCAGCAG
RNAcentral lists this ribosomal RNA (253 nucleotides) under uncultured bacterium. Its description in RNAcentral is "partial 16S ribosomal RNA". It matches the Rfam family "Bacterial small subunit ribosomal RNA", at positions 109 to 354 of the family's 1533-position model. The record is from RNAcentral.